UCGGCCAGGCCUGAGAUGCCGGGAGGGUUUGACCCUGGGGCUGCAUGGACAGCUUAGCGCUCGGCCGCUGGCGACAGCGGAGGGCGGAGGAUCUGCAGGUUCCGGGGGACGUGACAUGUUUUGAGCGCCUGCUGUGUCUCAAGCCCUGUCCUAGGCACUGGAGAUGAGAUGAAGAAACGAUGAGUAGAGGCCUUGCUUACGUUUAUCCUGCAACUCAUGAUGAGGCUUACUCUGCAACUCCAGUGCUCGGCUUUUUACACAACAGAGUCUCUGUUGCCCAGGCUGGAGUACAGUCGCACGAUCUUGGCUCACUGCAACCUCUGCCUCUCAGGUUCGAGUGAUUCUUCUGCCUCAGCCUCCCAAGUUGCUGGGAUUACAGAAACGGGUAUGCAGGAGAUUAGAAGCCAGUGGGCAUGAGCGUGGCUGCCACCAGGUGAAUGCCUGUGCCCUGGCGUCCUGGGGCCCAGAGGACCGGGAGCUUCCAUCAAGAGGCUGCCUCCCAGCACCAAGGCCAGAGAGUGGCCAGGGGAGGCUAAGUACAGGGAUUUCUCAGAAUGGUGGAAGGAGCUCAGCCCAGCCUUGCCCAAGAUGUAUUGCAGGGGAAUCUAUGGAGUUUUGCUCUCGUUGCCCACGCUGGAGUGCAAUGGCAUGAUCUCAGCUCACUGCAACCUCCGCUUCCCAGGUUCAAGCGAUUCUCCUGCCUCAGCCACCCAAGUAGUUGGGAUUACAGGGACAUUUUAGCCAUACCAAGAAUCAUUAGAAGAUGCAAGCUGGAAAAAAGAAGGUCCCAGUUUUGGUUUUGAACCCUUCAUGUUGCAGCAAAUGUGAAUCUCCUACAGAUGGGUUUGGGGACUUACCUGUUCAAAUAGCAGCCCGGUGUCCUCUGUGGGUGGGGGGAGGUUUGUCUGUCCUUUCAUUCUAGUAAAUCCACCAUCCUCUGCACGAGAGCCAGGAGAAUCCACAUCACUUCAAAAGAGCCCCCAAAUCCUUACUACGUACUACAGCCUCCUUUCGAAUGUUCCUGGUUGAGAGGGAGAUCAAUUGCAUUAUUUACAAGUCAAAAAAUUUUGUAUCAAACUUCCUAUGAGCUUGGGCACUCAUGGCCUAUGGAGGCCCACCCAGACGCAGCCCCGCCAUCAUGCUUUUUCGUUGUUUUGUGGAUGUACCCAGGGCUAUUUACACACUCUUUCAUUAAAAGGCUUAUUUUUAUAUUUAAA
RNAcentral lists this long non-coding RNA (1217 nucleotides) under Homo sapiens (human). RNAcentral's name for it is "HSALNT0360677". Lineage: Eukaryota; Metazoa; Chordata; Mammalia; Primates; Hominidae. The record is from RNAcentral.